Molecule: ribosomal RNA, 301 nt
Filed under: uncultured bacterium
Lineage: Bacteria
Description: partial 16S ribosomal RNA
Rfam family: Bacterial small subunit ribosomal RNA
Source: RNAcentral
CAGCCGCCGCGGUAAUACGAAGGGUGCAAGCGUUAAUCGGAAUUACUGGGCGUAAAGCGUGCGUAGGCGGUGAGCUAAGUCUGCUGUGAAAUCCCCGGGCUCAACCUGGGAAUGGCAGUGGAUACUGGCUCGCUAGAGUGUGUCAGAGGAUGGUGGAAUUCCCGGUGUAGCGGUGAAAUGCGUAGAGAUCGGGAGGAACAUCAGUGGCGAAGGCGGCCAUCUGGGACAACACUGACGCUGAGGCACGAAAGCGUGGGGAGCAAACAGGAUUAGAUACCCGCGUAGUCCCUGUCUCUUAUAC